UCCGUAGGUGAACCUUGCGGAAGGAUCAUU
Molecule: ribosomal RNA, 30 nt
Filed under: Choanephora cucurbitarum
Lineage: Eukaryota; Fungi; Mucoromycota; Mucoromycetes; Mucorales; Choanephoraceae
Description: partial 18S ribosomal RNA
Source: RNAcentral